AUUGAACGCUGGCGGCAGGCCUAACACAUGCAAGUCGAGCGGAUGAAGGGAGCUUGCUCCUGGAUUCAGCGGCGGGCGGGUGAGUAAUGCCUAGGAAUCUGCCUGGUAGUGGGGGAUAACGUCCGGAAACGGGCGCUAAUACCGCAUACGUCCUGAGGGAGAAAGUGGGGGAUCUUCGGACCUCACGCUAUCAGAUGAGCCUAGGUCGGAUUAGCUAGUUGGUGGGGUAAAGGCCUACCAAGGCGACGAUCCGUAACUGGUCUGAGAGGAUGAUCAGUCACACUGGAACUGAGACACGGUCCAGACUCCUACGGGAGGCAGCAGUGGGGAAUAUUGGACAAUGGGCGAAAGCCUGAUCCAGCCAUGCCGCGUGUGUGAAGAAGGUCUUCGGAUUGUAAAGCACUUUAAGUUGGGAGGAAGGGCAGUAAGUUAAUACCUUGCUGUUUUGACGUUACCAACAGAAUAAGCACCGGCCAACUUCGUG
RNAcentral lists this ribosomal RNA (484 nucleotides) under uncultured bacterium. Its description in RNAcentral is "partial 16S ribosomal RNA". It matches the Rfam family "Bacterial small subunit ribosomal RNA", at positions 30 to 507 of the family's 1533-position model. The record is from RNAcentral.